AGCCAUUUCCACGACAGGUUGAUGCUUCUUCUUUUUUGAAACUAAGGUUGAUGCUUCUUGUCCGUUUACUUGGAGCUUGUGGCAUCUCUGCAUCUCUGAAGAUCAGCUUAUGAAGCUGUCAUGUCCCUAAUGCUGGCAGCAAACUCAUUGAACUCAUCUAUAGUUUAAUUUCAGAUCUAGAUCAUGAGAUCAGUGAGCUAGCAAUGAAACCGCAGCUUUGCAAAGGCAACAAUUGGCUCUGCACGUUCACCUGCACUUAGUGUCUUCCGGAAAUUGCAAUCUCAAGAUAACCCUCAUGAUGUUCUCUUUGUUAGUGCAUUAGGUGCUCCUAACGAAGCUGGCCACAUUGCUAUGUUUCAAUUCUUGGCAGCAAGAAUCUGCAUGGCAGUUCAGUCUACUGCUGAGUCUUGCUGUACGUGCAUAUUAUAACACUUAUUUAAUGGAUAAUUACUAAUUAGUGAUUGCAUCAACAUCUAUUAUAUUUAUUUUGGCCCUUCUGAGAUGGCCUUCAGCC
This 514-nucleotide long non-coding RNA is filed under the name Setaria viridis. Its description in RNAcentral is "long non-coding RNA (SVIR_LNC007522)". The record is from RNAcentral. Lineage: Eukaryota; Viridiplantae; Streptophyta; Magnoliopsida; Poales; Poaceae.